CCCUUAGAUGUCCUGGGCCGCACGCGCGUUACACUGAUGCAUUCAACGAGCUUAUAACCUUGGCCGAGAGGCCUGGGCAAUCUUGUUAACGUGCAUCGUGAUAGGGAUAGAUUAUUGAAAUUAUUAAUCUUGAACGAGGAAUUCCUAGUAAACGCAGAUCAUCAAUCUGCAUUGAUUACGUCCCUGCCCUUUGUACACACCGCCCGUCGCACCUACCGAUUGGAUGGUCCGGUGAAGCCUCGGGAUUGUGGUUCUUGUCGCUUUAUUGUAGCGUGACCGCGAGAACUUGUCUAAACCUUAUCAUCUAGAGGAAGGUGAAGUCGUAACA
Molecule: ribosomal RNA, 328 nt
Filed under: uncultured eukaryote
Lineage: Eukaryota
Description: partial 18S ribosomal RNA
Rfam family: Eukaryotic small subunit ribosomal RNA
Source: RNAcentral